This 247-nucleotide ribosomal RNA is filed under the name Vibrio parahaemolyticus. RNAcentral's name for it is "partial 16S ribosomal RNA". It matches the Rfam family "Bacterial small subunit ribosomal RNA", at positions 1296 to 1533 of the family's 1533-position model. Lineage: Bacteria; Pseudomonadati; Pseudomonadota; Gammaproteobacteria; Vibrionales; Vibrionaceae. The record is from RNAcentral.
GAUUGGAGUCUGCAACUCGACUCCAUGAAGUCGGAAUCGCUAGUAAUCGUGGAUCAGAAUGCCACGGUGAAUACGUUCCCGGGCCUUGUACACACCGCCCGUCACACCAUGGGAGUGGGCUGCAAAAGAAGUAGGUAGUUUAACCUUCGGGGGGACGCUUACCACUUUGUGGUUCAUGACUGGGGUGAAGUCGUAACAAGGUAGCGCUAGGGGAACCUGGCGCUGGAUCACCUCCUUAAACGAUGAU